Molecule: ribosomal RNA, 465 nt
Filed under: uncultured bacterium
Lineage: Bacteria
Description: bacterial SSU rRNA
Rfam family: Bacterial small subunit ribosomal RNA
Source: RNAcentral
AUUGAACGCUGGCGGCAUGCUUUACACAUGCAAGUCGAACGGUAACAGGGAGCUUGCUCCGCUGACGAGUGGCGAACGGGUGAGUAAUGCAUCGGAACGUACCCAGUCGUGGGGGAUAACGUAGCGAAAGUUACGCUAAUACCGCAUACGUCCUGAGGGAGAAAGCGGGGGACCGUAAGGCCUCGCGCGAUUGGAGCGGCCGAUGUCGGAUUAGCUAGUUGGUAGGGUAAAGGCCUACCAAGGCGACGAUCCGUAGCGGGUCUGAGAGGAUGAUCCGCCACACUGGGACUGAGACACGGCCCAGACUCCUACGGGAGGCAGCAGUGGGGAAUUUUGGACAAUGGGCGAAAGCCUGAUCCAGCCAUGCCGCGUGAGUGAAGAAGGCCUUCGGGUUGUAAAGCUCUUUCAGGUGGAAAGAAAACGCAUAGGUUAAUACCUUGUGCGGAUGACGGUACCAUCAGAAGA